This 478-nucleotide ribosomal RNA is filed under the name uncultured bacterium. RNAcentral's name for it is "partial 16S ribosomal RNA". It matches the Rfam family "Bacterial small subunit ribosomal RNA", at positions 28 to 523 of the family's 1533-position model. The record is from RNAcentral.
GACGAACGCUGGCGGCGUGCUUAACACAUGCAAGUCGAGCGAUGAAAUUCCUUCGGGGAUGGAUUAGCGGCGGACGGGUGAGUAACACGUGGGUAACCUGCCUCAUAGAGGGGAAUAGCCUUUCGAAAGGAAGAUUAAUACCGCAUAAGAUUGUAGUGCCGCAUGGUACAGCAAUUAAAGGAGUAAUCCGCUAUGAGAUGGACCCGCGUCGCAUUAGCUAGUUGGUGAGGUAACGGCUCACCAAGGCGACGAUGCGUAGCCGACCUGAGAGGGUGAUCGGCCACAUUGGGACUGAGACACGGCCCAGACUCCUACGGGAGGCAGCAGUGGGGAAUAUUGCACAAUGGGGGAAACCCUGAUGCAGCAACGCCGCGUGAGUGAUGACGGUCUUCGGAUUGUAAAGCUCUGUCUUCAGGGACGAUAAUGACGGUACCUGAGGAGGAAGCCACGGCUAACUACGUGCCAGCCGCCGCCGUAA